UUGAGGUGCCUCUCCUCCGGCCGGUCCGUCCUCAUCAGCAGCACCAAAGUCUAAGGGGGAGGAGCUGGAGUAGAGGGGAAAGUGGCUCCUCCUCCACACUGGCCAGGCAGAGAAGAUCAAUAAUCUGUGUGGAGGAGACGCUCGAGAGGAGAGCGGCCUUUCCUCCUGCUGCGGCCGGGAUUUACAAAUUGGGGGCCGAUGCACUGUCUGGCGGCAACAUACAAUGAGUCAGAGUGACUCAUUGUAAUGCCGGCUAUUAUGGCCCUCUUGUCUGUGGCAGGAUAUGGGCCUAUUUUCAAUGGGGGGCCUGGAGCUGCAGCUCCAUCCGCCCCAUUGUUAAUCCGGCCCUGUGUAUGAGGCACGUCCUCCGCCCUGUUGUAUAUUGCCGUCUCCAGUCACUGGGACCUGGCUGAUGAAUCUCCGCGGAUGUCUCUGACGUGCAGUUCCACAGGUUGUCCAAGGCUCACGGCAAAAAAGGCAGCAGAGUCAGCCAAUGUACAGGUGCUUCCAACACUAUAAAGUCCCUUCUGGGAGAACUCAGGUAGAGCACAAAGGAGGAAUGGGAGUCCACAUCCAGAACAGUGAUCCAGUCCCUUCCCCCACCAAACUCCAUCCCCUCUCCAGCUCCAUCCCCCUCUCAAACUUCAUCCCCCCUCAAGCUCCAUCCCCCUCAAACUCCAUCCCUCUCAAGCUCCAUGCCCUCCUCAAACUCCAUACUCCUCUCAAUCUUCAGCCCCCUAUCAACCUCCCUCUCCCCCUCAAACUUCCUCCUUCACUCAAACUCCCUCUUCCCCUCAACCUCCAUCCCCCACUCGAACACCAUCCACCCAUGAAUUGCCCACCCCCUCUCAAUCUGAUCCUCCUUCCCCUAUCCAACCUCUGUCCCCCUUUCAAGCCCUUCCUCAGCUAACCUCCCACCCCCUUUCAAGCCUCAUCCCCCAUCCAACCUCCCACCCCCUUUCAAGCUCCUUCCCCAUUCAACCUCCAUCCCCCUCUCAAGACGAAAUGCAGCCACCACCAGAGGAAGAAGAGUAGGAUAAGUGGGCGGCUCUGGUUGAAAUUAUUACAGACCCAGAGGUUGGAAAUCGAAACAAGGCCAUCCGAAAGGAACUACUUGCCAUGCAGGCAUACAUUCUGGCCCUGCUGGAGAAUGUCCAGAAUUUAUUACAGUUUUUUUUUCAUUUUGUAAAAAUUCAUUAUUAUGUUUGUAUUUUUUUUGUUAUUUCAAAAAGUAAACCUUCAAAACUUA
Long non-coding RNA from Pseudophryne corroboree (corroboree frog), 1249 nucleotides. RefSeq lists it as uncharacterized. The record is from RefSeq and is a predicted model, not a curated record. Lineage: Eukaryota; Metazoa; Chordata; Amphibia; Anura; Myobatrachidae. The transcript is spliced from 3 exons.